Molecule: ribosomal RNA, 1976 nt
Filed under: human oral metagenome
Description: bacterial LSU rRNA
Rfam family: Bacterial large subunit ribosomal RNA
Source: RNAcentral
CUUAGAAGCAGCCAUCCUUGAAAGAGUGCGUAAUAGCUCACUGGUCAAGUGGUUCCGCGCCGACAAUGUAGCGGGGCUUAAGCACACCGCCGACGCCGCGGCAGUCCAUCGUGGUCCUAGCCUGUCCGUUGGGCGGGUUCAGGGGGUGGGCUGGGUAGGGGAGCGUCCCGCGUUGGGUGAAGUCUCGGGGUGACCCGGGGUGGACGGCGUGGGAGUGAGAAUGCAGGCAUGAGUAGCGAGAGGCGGGUGAGAAACCCGUCCGCCGAUUGACUAAGGGUUCCAGGGCCAGGUUGAUCCGCCCUGGGUUAGUCGGGUCCUAAGGCGAGGCCGACGGGCGUAGUCGAUGGACAACGGGUUGAUAUUCCCGUACCGGCGCUUGACCGUUCAAUGUUCGCCGGGGUGAUGCUAACCAUCCCCGAUCCUGUGUGUCUCUUUCGGGAGGCGUGUGGGGGAGGGCGUGGGGUCCGAGCCUGGGUGGGCAAGCGUGGUAACAGGUGUGACGCAGAGUGGUAGUCCAACCGUGUCGUAUGGCUGAGCACGGCUAAGGGUGUAGCCCGUCUCCCAGGUAAAUCCGGGGGGCGUUCGGGUCAGGCCUGAUGGGGACCGUUUGACGGGAAGUGGAUGAUCCUGUGCUGCCGAGAAAAGCAUCGACGUCAGGGCAAGCGCCGCCCGUACCCGAAACCGACACAGGUGGUCAGGUAGAGUAUACCGAGGCGUGCGAGUUAAUCGUGGUUAAGGAACUCGGCAAAAUGCCCCCGUAACUUCGGGAGAAGGGGGGCCCCGGUCUUGACGUCCCCGUGCGGGGCGGAGGGGUCGGGGCCGCAGAGUCCAGGGAGAAGCGACUGUUUAUCAAAAACACAGGUGCGUGCUAAGCCGCAAGGCGAUGUAUACGCACUGACGCCUGCCCGGUGCUGGAAGGUUAAGCGGACUGGUCAGCCCUUCGGGGUGAAGCUGGGAAGUUAAGCCCCAGUAAACGGCGGUGGUAACUAUAACCAUCCUAAGGUAGCGAAAUUCCUUGUCGGGUAAGUUCCGACCUGCACGAAUGGCGUAACGACUUCUCCGCUGUCUCGACCACGAGCUCGGUGAAAUUGCAGUACGAGUAAAGAUGCUCGUUUCGCGCAGCAGGACGGAAAGACCCCGGGACCUUUACUAUAGCUUGGUAUUGGUGUUCGGUACGGCUUGUGUAGGAUAGGUGGGAGACUGUGAACCGGUCACGCUAGUGGGCGGGGAGUCGUUGGUGAAAUACCACUCUGGCCGUGCUGACCAUCUAACCUCGGUCCGUGAUCCGGGCCAGGGACAGUGCCUGGUGGGUAGUUUAACUGGGGCGGUUGCCUCCUAAAGGGUAACGGAGGCGCUCAAAGGUUCCCUCAGCCUGGUCGGCAACCAGGUGGCGAGUGUAAGUGCACAAGGGGGCUUGACUGUGAGACUGACGGGUCGAGCAGGUACGAAAGUAGGAACUAGUGAUCCGGCGGUGGCUUGUGGAAGCGCCGUCGCUCAACGGAUAAAAGGUACCCCGGGGAUAACAGGCUGAUCCUGCCCAAGAGUCCAUAUCGACGGCAUGGUUUGGCACCUCGAUGUCGGCUCGUCGCAUCCUGGGGCUGGAGUAGGUCCCAAGGGUUGGGCUGUUCGCCCAUUAAAGCGGUACGCGAGCUGGGUUCAGAACGUCGUGAGACAGUUCGGUCCCUAUCCGCUGCGCGCGUAGGAGAAUUGAGAAGGGCUGUCCCUAGUACGAGAGGACCGGGACGGACGAACCUCUGGUGUGCCAGUUGUUCCGCCAGGAGCACGGCUGGUUGGCUACGUUCGGGAGGGAUAACCGCUGAAAGCAUCUAAGCGGGAAGCCUGCUUCAAGAUAAGUUCUCCAUCCAGCCUGUGUGCUGGGUGAGGUCCCCCGCAGACGACGGGGUUGAUAGGCCGGACGUGGACGCCUCGUAAGGGGUGGAGCUGACCGGUACUAAUGGACCGACCGCCUACACCAU